Molecule: long non-coding RNA, 1893 nt
Filed under: Homo sapiens (human)
Lineage: Eukaryota; Metazoa; Chordata; Mammalia; Primates; Hominidae
Description: HSALNT0313929
Source: RNAcentral
AAACAAAAUGCACUCUUCCUUCUCCCCUCCGCCCCCCCGUCCCCGCCCCUUUCUUCCUCUUCCCUCAUCUCUGUCACCUUCGAUUGGGCUAAAAGAGGCCCAAUCCGCUAUCUCAAACAUCCAUUGGGACGCGGAAACUUCGCUCAGAGAAGUAUUAACAGGCGAUUGGUGGACAAUCCUUCCACUUCGCCCACCCCCACAACCCCCUCCCCCCGCCGCACCUUCACCCUUUCUGAAAAGGUCAAUCGUAUCUCGUUGUUCAGUGAUCCGGGAGGUGGAAGGCUAUUGGUUCAGGGAGCCCGUCAGACCGGACUGGAGUGAGCCAUGAUUGGUCGACACAGGCGCAAUCAGAGUCAAGAAAACUUUGCUUUUGACUUAUUUACAGCUAGUCACAAUUGAGUGAAGUAUACUCCUGUAAACAAAUUUGGAUUUCUCUCUCUCAAUCUGAUUUCUCCAGAAUGUGGAAACUAUUUAAACAGACUGCAGAUUGAAUUCCUACAUAGGCUAUUCCAGAAUUCUUACGAGACUUGCAUUAGGACAUCAGCAACAGGUAUCAUCUAGUGAACUGUUCAGAUGCAACUGAAUUGAAAAGGAGCUGAACAAAAGAUCCUGAGAGAGACUUCAACAAAAAGUAAAAUGGAUUUUAUCAUACUUGAAAAAUCAACAAUUGCAGUCUGGAUUCAUACAUCACUGUCUGAUGCACCCAACUUGAGUCAAAAAGAUGUUUCAAAUCCCACUAGGCUGGAGGCAAAAAUACUCAAGAGUUUAAGAGCGUCUCUUGACAGUGUACAGAAUAAGAUAGCUUCUCAGCUUUCAGCUUUACUUCACGGUUUUAACUAUCAAAAGAAGCAAGCCAUCUGAAGAUUUGCCUGAGACUGAAGGAUCCACUUCUGCGACGACUCCCUCAGGACUUAUAAUGCAGAUGGAACCAGAUUGAGAAAAACCAGCCAACCAACCAACCAACAUGAUGGCUGAACCAGACAAGAGAAGUCCCGAAGUAAAAUACCCACCAAUUACCAGAAUCUGUGCCUGCCAUACAUCGAAGAAAAUUCAACAGCAAUACAAAUUAACCUUUGGAAAAUCUUUCCUGGGUUUUAUGUUUGUGUGAAAUGCCCCUUUACUAAACUGGAAGAUGUGUAAGAUGGAAGAAGAGGUUCUGCUGGAUAUGGAGAAAUUGGAACCCUUGUACAUGUGGAAAUGUAAAAUGGUGCAUUAGGAAAACAGUUUCAACGGUCCUCAAAGUGGUAAACAUAGAGUUACCAUAUGACUGAGAAAUUUUACUCCCAGGUAUAUACCCAAGAUAAAUAAAAACAUGUUCAUAUAAAACUCAUAUAUAUAUGUCCAUGGCAGCUUUAUUUAUAGUUGCCAAAAUGUCUCUUGUGACUGGCUUCUUUCACUCAACAUGAUGUGUUCAAGGUCCAUUAGUAUUGGAACUUAACUCGUCUUUAUUGUUAAACGAUAUUCCACUGUAUGGACAUAUCCUCAUUUUAUUUACCCAUUCAUCAGUUGAUGGACAUUUGGGGUUUUUCCAUGUUUUGGCAGUGUGUGCAUUGUGUGUGUUGUGUGAGGGAAAGGGAUAGAAUGAAAGUGAUAUUAAGAUUAAGUGACAUAAUGUAUGUAAUAUUUCUAGCAGAGUUCCUGGGACAUGGCAGAUAUGUUAUUAUUUUAUUACUAUUGUUAUAAUUUCCUUUAUCUAGGAGAGCACAGCUUCAUUGCCAGAUGUAACUUUUAUUUAGACUAAGGAAUCAGUUAAGAUAACCAUAAGAUACUCUUGGUCUUGAACUCUGCCAUGCCUAAACAAAAAUUAUCUUCUUUGCCUUGGAAAAUUAUUACUUUAGUGAAAUAAAUUGUUUUCUUUCUAAAUUUGCAAAGUAUUAUUUUUUACACUAUAAU